CACCGCCAUACUUUUCAAUAUAUAUAUCAGAUUCAAAUUCAAUCACCUCUGUAUAUCCCCUUUUCUACAUCUAUAAUUUGCAAACACAAACUUGUCCAGCUAGGACUCAAGUUCGUUCCUUCCACCGUAGAGGUGCGGCGCGACUAGGACAUGAAUUUUCAUUGAAUUGCUCAAGUCAGUUAUCAAGUUCAAACUCAAGUUAAAGUUUCAGGUAUUUUACUGUUGGAGACGCGUGGAGGGUCGAAUGAGCGCAUCAAGUUAUUUUGCGAACAGUUGAUUUCAUUCUAAAUUAAUUUAAGUAUUUAAAGUUUUGCUUAGCACAGGUUUUAUUUAAUAGUUAAAUAAUCUCAUGUAUGACUUCUUUACGUCAUACUUUGGGACCGAGAUGUUGUGAUCGGUUUUAAACCAAAGUUUGUAUUUGAAAAUAUUAUUAAAAAGAUAAUUUCUUUUAAAUCGUUUUAAAA
Salvia miltiorrhiza (redroot sage) is the source of this 464-nucleotide long non-coding RNA. RefSeq lists it as uncharacterized. The transcript is spliced from 3 exons. The record is from RefSeq and is a predicted model, not a curated record. NCBI's taxonomy places the organism in Eukaryota, Viridiplantae, Streptophyta, Magnoliopsida, Lamiales, Lamiaceae.